UUGAACGCUGGCGGAAUGCUUUACACAUGCAAGUCGAACGGCAGCACGGGAGCUUGCUCCUGGUGGCGAGUGGCGAACGGGUGAGUAAUAUAUCGGAACAUAUCCUGUCGUGGGGGAUAACUAAUCGAAAGGUUAGCUAAUACCGCAUACGACCUGAGGGAGAAAGCGGGGGCUCGCAAGACCUCGCGCGAUUGGAGUGGCCGAUAUCUGAUUAGCUAGAUGGUGAGGUAAAGGCUCACCAUGGCGACGAUCAGUAGCUGGUCUGAGAGGAUGAUCAGCCACACUGGGACUGAGACACGGCCCAGACUCCUACGGGAGGCAGCAGUGGGGAAUUUUGGACAAUGGGCGAAAGCCUGAUCCAGCCAUUCCGCGUGAGUGAAGAAGGCCUUCGGGUUGUAAAGCACUUUUUGGAAGGAAUAGGAAGGAAUGUACUUCCAGAAUAAGUCUCGGCUAACUACGU
RNAcentral lists this ribosomal RNA (460 nucleotides) under uncultured bacterium. RNAcentral's name for it is "bacterial SSU rRNA". It matches the Rfam family "Bacterial small subunit ribosomal RNA", at positions 30 to 506 of the family's 1533-position model. The record is from RNAcentral.